CCUACGGGAGGCAGCAGUGGGGAAUAUUGCGCAAUGGGCGAAAGCCUGAUGCAGCGACGCCGCGUGAGGGAUGAAGGUCUUCGGAUCGUAAACCUCUUUCCGUAGGGAAGAACGCUCACUGUGCUAUACAGCAGUGAAUUGACGGUACCUGCACAGGAAGCACCGGCUAACUCCGUGCCAGCAGCCGCGGUAAUACGGAGGGUGCGCGCGUUAAUCGGAAUUACUGGGCGUAAAGCGCUCGUAGGCGGUAUGUUAAGUCUAGGGUGAAAGCCCCGGGCUCAACGUGGGAACCGCAUUUGAUACUGGGAAACUGGAGUGAGUGAGGGGGUAGUGGAAGUCCAGGUGUAGGAGUGAAAUGCGUAGAUAUCGGGAGGAACACCAGAGGCGAAGGCGACUAUCUGGCAAAUAACUGACGCUGAGGAGCGAAGGCGUGGGUAGCAAAAAGGAUUAGAUACCCGUGUAGUC
This 465-nucleotide ribosomal RNA is filed under the name uncultured bacterium. RNAcentral's name for it is "partial 16S ribosomal RNA". It matches the Rfam family "Bacterial small subunit ribosomal RNA", at positions 338 to 795 of the family's 1533-position model. The record is from RNAcentral.